GACGAACGCUGGCGGCGUGCCUAAUACAUGCCAGUCGAACGCACAGUUUAUACCGUAGCUUGCUACACCAUAGACUGUGAGUUGCGAACGGGUGAGUAACGCGUAGGUAACCUGCCUGGUAGCGGGGGAUAACUAUUGGAAACGAUAGCUAAUACCGCAUAAUAUUAAUUAUUGCAUGAUAAUUAAUUGAAAGGUGCAAUUGCACCACUACCAGAUGGACCUGCGUUGUAUUAGCUAGUAGGUGAGGUAACGGCUCACCUAGGCGACGAUACAUAGCCGACCUGAGAGGGGGAUCGGCCACACUGGGACUGAGACACGGCCCAGACUCCUACGGGAGGCAGCAGUAGGGAAUCUUCGGCAAUGGACGAAAGUCUGACCGAGCAACGCCGCGUGAGUGAAGAAGGGUUUCGGAUCGUAAAGCUCUGUUGUAAGAGAAGAACGGGUGUGAGAGUGGAAAGUUCACACUGUGACGGUAGCUUACCAGAAAGGGACGGCUAACUACGUG
Molecule: ribosomal RNA, 505 nt
Filed under: uncultured bacterium
Lineage: Bacteria
Description: partial 16S ribosomal RNA
Rfam family: Bacterial small subunit ribosomal RNA
Source: RNAcentral